GUUUUGCUUUGCAGCACAUUUACUAAAAUUGGAUUGAUCCAGAGAAGAUUAGGAUGGCACCUGUGCAAAGAUGACGUGUAAAGUAAUAAAACAGUCCGUGUUUUG
This is a small nuclear RNA of Grammomys surdaster, 105 nucleotides long. The record is from RefSeq and is a predicted model, not a curated record. NCBI's taxonomy places the organism in Eukaryota, Metazoa, Chordata, Mammalia, Rodentia, Muridae.